This 450-nucleotide ribosomal RNA is filed under the name uncultured bacterium. Its description in RNAcentral is "partial 16S ribosomal RNA". It matches the Rfam family "Bacterial small subunit ribosomal RNA", at positions 354 to 796 of the family's 1533-position model. The record is from RNAcentral.
GUGGGGAAUAUUGGACAAUGGGCGAAAGCCUGAUCCAGCCAUGCCGCGUGUGUGAAGAAGGUCUUCGGAUUGUAAAGCACUUUAAGUUGGGAGGAAGGGCAUUAACCUAAUACGUUAGUGUUUUGACGUUACCGACAGAAUAAGCACCGGCUAACUUCGUGCCAGCAGCCGCGGUAAUACGAAGGGUGCAAGCGUUAAUCGGAAUUACUGGGCGUAAAGCGCGCGUAGGUGGUUUUGUAAGGUGGAGGUGAAAUCCCCGGGCUCAACCUGGGAACUGCCUCAAAAACUGCAUGACUAGAGUACGGUAGAGGGUAGUGGAAUUUCCUGUGUAGCUGUGAAAUGCGUAGAUAUAGGAAGGAACACCAGGGGCGAAGGCGACUACCUGGACUGAUACUGACACUGAGGUGCGAAAGCGUGGGGAGCAAACAGGAUUAGAUACCCGUGUAGUCC